AAUAAACCAACUUUUCACUUUUUAUCUAUAAUUUUUGACUCUUCGUCUUAUUUAAAUUUCUUUUGCGAUUGAUAUUUUUGUUUUUAUUAGAUAAUAAAUCAUAAAUAAUACUGUACGUGUGACUAAUUUUUUUCUAAUUUUCUAAAAAUUUUUCAAAUAAGACGAAUGGCCAAAAGGCACACGAAAAAU
This 189-nucleotide microRNA precursor is filed under the name Oryza brachyantha (malo sina). RNAcentral describes it as "MIR812 microRNA precursor family". It matches the Rfam family "MIR812 microRNA precursor family". Lineage: Eukaryota; Viridiplantae; Streptophyta; Magnoliopsida; Poales; Poaceae. The record is from Rfam by way of RNAcentral.